RNAcentral lists this small nuclear RNA (137 nucleotides) under Nematostella vectensis (starlet sea anemone). RNAcentral's name for it is "U4 spliceosomal RNA". It matches the Rfam family "U4 spliceosomal RNA". Rfam says of the family: U4 small nuclear RNA (U4 snRNA) is a component of the major U2-dependent spliceosome. The structure of U4 snRNA from yeast and human has been reported. The record is from Rfam by way of RNAcentral. Lineage: Eukaryota; Metazoa; Cnidaria; Anthozoa; Actiniaria; Edwardsiidae.
AGCUUUGCGCAGUGGCAUUACCGUAGCUGAUGAGGUCCAUCUAAGGCGCGGUUAUUGCUGAUUGAAACCUUUUCCCAAUACCCCGCUAGACGACUUCAAACAUAGUCGGCUUUGCAAUUUUUUUGGCCCUACUUAGA